This 387-nucleotide ribosomal RNA is filed under the name uncultured bacterium. RNAcentral describes it as "bacterial SSU rRNA". It matches the Rfam family "Bacterial small subunit ribosomal RNA", at positions 30 to 416 of the family's 1533-position model. The record is from RNAcentral.
AUUGAACGCUGGCGGCAUGCCUUACACAUGCAAGUCGAACGGCAGCACGGGAGCAAUCCUGGUGGCGAGUGGCGAACGGGUGAGUAAUAUAUCGGAACGUGCCCAGUCGUGGGGGAUAACGUAGCGAAAGCUACGCUAAUACCGCAUACGAUCUAUGGAUGAAAGCGGGGGAUCGCAAGACCUCGCGCGAUUGGAGCGGCCGAUAUCAGAUUAGGUAGUUGGUGAGGUAAAGGACUCACCAAGCCGACGAUCUGUAGCUGGUCUGAGAGGACGACCAGCCACACUGGGACUGAGACACGGCCCCAGACUCCUACGGAGGCAGCAGUGGGGAAUUUUGGACAAUGGGCGCAAGCCUGAUCCAGCAAUGCCGCGUGCAGGAUGAAGGCC